CUCAAAUAAUCUCAGAUAAUCUCAGGUAAUCUCAGAUAAUCUCAGAUAAUCUCAGGUAAUCUCAGAUAAUCUCAGAUAAUCUCAGGUAAUUUCAGAUAUAACCGCACAAUUGCAAGUGUGAUAUUGCUUUUAUAUAACAAUUCUAUAAGCAAGAAAUUGAUAUUGAGUAAGUGACAUUUUGGGUAAAAUAUGGCCGAACAUAUUGUUUAUUUUUAGUUGAAAUAGAUCCCAAAGAAGCCACUCUCACUUUACAGCCUGUCAGCGAGCUAACGUAGAUUUGUACAUUCCCAUUAAAGGAGCUUCAUUUUGGC
Long non-coding RNA from Ictalurus punctatus (channel catfish), 311 nucleotides. The record is from Ensembl. Lineage: Eukaryota; Metazoa; Chordata; Actinopteri; Siluriformes; Ictaluridae.